Molecule: ribosomal RNA, 881 nt
Filed under: uncultured Moraxella sp.
Lineage: Bacteria; Pseudomonadati; Pseudomonadota; Gammaproteobacteria; Moraxellales; Moraxellaceae
Description: bacterial SSU rRNA
Rfam family: Bacterial small subunit ribosomal RNA
Source: RNAcentral
GCUUGCUGGUAUGAUUAGUGGCGAACGGGUGAGUAAUGCUUAGGAAUCUGCCUAUUAGUGGGGGACAACAUUCCGAAAGGAAUGCUAAUACCGCAUACGUCCUAUGGGAGAAAGCAGGGGAUCGCAAGACCUUGCGCUAAUAGAUGAGCCUAAGUCGGAUUAGCUAGUUGGUGGGGUAAAGGCCUACCAAGGCGACGAUCUGUAGCUGGUCUGAGAGGAUGAUCAGCCACACUGGGACUGAGACACGGCCCAGACUCCUACGGGAGGCAGCAGUGGGGAAUAUUGGACAAUGGGCGAAAGCCUGAUCCAGCCAUGCCGCGUGUGUGAAGAAGGCCUUUUGGUUGUAAAGCACUUUAAGUGGGGAGGAAAAGCUAAUAAUUAAUACCUAUUAGCCCUGACGUUACCCACAGAAUAAGCACCGGCUAACUCUGUGCCAGCAGCCGCGGUAAUACAGAGGGUGCAAGCGUUAAUCGGAAUUACUGGGCGUAAAGCGAGCGUAGGUGGUCAUUUAAGUCAGAUGUGAAAUCCCCGGGCUUAACCUGGGAACUGCAUCUGAUACUGGGUGACUAGAGUAGGUGAGAGGGAAGUAGAAUUCCAGGUGUAGCGGUGAAAUGCGUAGAGAUCUGGAGGAAUACCGAUGGCGAAGGCAGCUUCCUGGCAUCAUACUGACACUGAGGUUCGAAAGCGUGGGUAGCAAACAGGAUUAGAUACCCUGGUAGUCCACGCCGUAAACGAUGUCUACCAGUCGUUGGGUCUCUUGAAGACUUAGUGACGCAGUUAACGCGAUAAGUAGACCGCCUGGGGAGUACGGCCGCAAGGUUAAAACUCAAAUGAAUUGACGGGGGCCCGCACAAGCGGUGGAGCAUGUGGUUUAAUUCGAC